GCCCCGCCGAAUAGCGCAUCCCAGCCUCUCCCACCAGUAACCCUAACUCCGCUUCGCCUCUCUCUAGUCUCCAAUCCUCUGAGCUCUCACCACCUCUCAGCGCCGAAAACUCCUCCCCCUUCCCCGCUUUCAAUGCCGUCGGACAGCACCAUCGCGGCGGUAUAGGAUGCAUCCAGAGAUAUGCAAAUCCUCUUCACUGCAUUUUGAUGACAAUAAAGCACAAAAUAGGAGCCAAUAAUGUAUAUUUGAUGGAU
Molecule: non-coding RNA, 254 nt
Organism: Arachis ipaensis
Lineage: Eukaryota; Viridiplantae; Streptophyta; Magnoliopsida; Fabales; Fabaceae
Source: RefSeq, a predicted model, not a curated record